RNAcentral lists this ribosomal RNA (389 nucleotides) under uncultured bacterium. Its description in RNAcentral is "bacterial SSU rRNA". It matches the Rfam family "Bacterial small subunit ribosomal RNA", at positions 28 to 417 of the family's 1533-position model. The record is from RNAcentral.
GACGAACGCUGGCGGCGUGCUUAACACAUGCAAGUCGAGCGGUAAGGCCCUUUCGGGGUACGACGAGCGGCGAACGGGUGAGUAACACGUGGGUGACCUGCCCUUACGCUCUGGGAUAAGCCUGGGAAACUGGGUCGUAAUACCGGAUAUGACUCCAUAACGCAUGUUGUGGGGUGGAAAGCCUUGUGCGGCUAGGGAUGGGCCUGCGGCCUAUCAGCUUGUUGGUGGGGUGAUGGCCUACCAAGGCGACGACGGGUAGCCGGCCUGAGAGGGCGACCGGCCACACUGGGACUGAGACACGGCCCAGACUCCUACGGGAGGCAGCAGUGGGGAAUCUUGCGCAAUGGGCGAAAGCCUGACGCAGCGACGCCGCGUGGGGAUGACGGCCU